GCAACAUUUUGUGAUGACGUCACAACAGCUGUAGGUACGUGCCAUUUUUCGCCAUUUUAUGCGCUGUGUUUUGUGGUACUUCUGCUGUCAAGUAGCUGUUUAUGAGAUCGUAUUUUGUGUUUUGCGGAUAAAUUACGAGGAUUUGAUAUGCUAAAUCGAAGUUGAAGUUGAAAAAAGUGUUAUUCAACAUGUCCGUGUAUUGUAUUGUACAGUGUGGUGCCAGAAAGGACAGAAAUCAACCGUAUUUGUCACUUCAUAGGCCAUCUUUCAAUCCAAAAUUGUCGACUGGAUUUACUGAAACAGGUGAUAUUGGAAAACUAAUCCACAGCUGCAACGUCGUCUGUGCUGCCAUUGCCCGUACGUCUGUCUCAUAAGUCAGUACAUGAAAAGUCUGUUCAAGAAGACGCGAUGAAAAAAUUAAAAGUUAGCCAAUUUGAAGAAUAUUAUGGAAGAUCUGCAGAAUAAAAAUCAAAUAAUAAAGGGCAAAGUGUAUUGAUGGAAGAAUUGGCAGGACCGCAAGACUUUUUGAAAAGGCAGGUAAACAAAUUUCAAGGUUUACCUUUGCCAAAAAAGUAU
RNAcentral lists this long non-coding RNA (576 nucleotides) under Pectinophora gossypiella (pink bollworm). Its description in RNAcentral is "uncharacterized LOC126377282". Lineage: Eukaryota; Metazoa; Arthropoda; Insecta; Lepidoptera; Gelechiidae. The record is from RNAcentral.